GCAGUAUAUAAAUAACAGGUCUUAACAGAAAAAUAAGUCUUUUUGCUUCUUUUUAAAAUGUUUUUAUUCUAUUUAUUUAUGGAGAAGGCAUACAUGUCACAAUGCUCGUGUGAAGAUGAGAGAACAACUUAGAGCAAUUUAUCCUCUCCUUCCACAGUUGUGGGCCCCAGGGUUGAACUCAGGUCCCCUGGCUUGAUAGCAUCUGCCCUUAUCCACCGAGCCAUCUCCCGAAGGCUUUGGAUCCUUAUGGUUAAGGAAAGAUGAACUCCAAGGAAGUUACAUGUCAUUGGAGCAGCAGAGGGGUUUCACUGGGGGGUUUUACAUCCAAGUUUGAAAGGCUGAGCUCUGUUGCUGUGGUUGGAGUCUCUGAAGCCCCCCACCUUCACAGUGCUCCCAGAAAGAUCCUCAACUGGUGGCCCAAGGCCAUCAGAUUAAUCUCUCAGUGACACUUCUUUCAUCCCAGUCCAAGGACCUGCUUAUCUGGUCAGUUUAUAAGUCAGCCACUGCGCCUUUUAAAGUUCUCCUCUAAGAGGCCCCAGAUGCCCUAUCCAAUGUUAUCUCAUCCACAGCACUCAGCCCACCUAGGGCUUUAUCACUCACCACUGCCAUCCUUCUCCUUUCUCCUCCUGAAGGUCUGCUGGUCCACAACUUCCUUCCAGAAGCUUUCAGGGCUCAGGGCUGCAGGCUCUUGGCAGUUGAGUCCCCCGAAGCUCGGAUGGCGGCCUCACGUUCUCUCCAGCUGCUGGAGAUCUGUUUUUGGACAGUAGGCGUGAUCACAGCCGCCAGCACGGACAGGACAGGGGCGUGCACCCCGCUUCCGCGGCACCCAAACACAACAGGCGUCCACCCCACAGGCGCGGCGUGUUUACAAAGUCCGUGCCGCAUCGCAGAUCGCUAGCUAGAAGCUGGGCAGGAAGUGGGGACGAGGGGGCGGGCGAGACAAAGGAGCUGGGUGCUGAGCUCUGCUAGGGUCUGGUUCCUGACACUCCAGUGCAGCCAGGAGGGGGCUCAUCAAGCUCUGAUCGCUACUGCACGGAGAGUCUACAGAUCUGAUCCUCAGCCCCAGGUGGUGGUAGUUGGGGGUGUGUCUUCGCCAGGCUCAGGUGUACACACACUCCACGGGAUGCCUCCUGGGCAUCUGCAAUUCGUGGCGCACAUUGAUUAGGAAGUAAACA
Molecule: long non-coding RNA, 1175 nt
Filed under: Cricetulus griseus (Chinese hamster)
Lineage: Eukaryota; Metazoa; Chordata; Mammalia; Rodentia; Cricetidae
Description: lncRNA (ENSCGRG00015035257.1)
Source: RNAcentral